CACACACGCACACACACUUUCCUCCCUCUUCCCCCACCUCCCUAUGCCAUUUUCUGCAGUCAGCGUUCAAAAAAAGUACGAAAACCAUCGGGUAAUUUCCAACUGAACCGAUUACGGACGGCGAAUUUAUCCAAACACUUAAGCAAGGAGAGGAUCCUAAAAUCGAAAAACGAAGGCGGAAGGGGCGAGAAGAACGGGGUGGAGUUGGGUGGCGGAGCGAGUGGGACGUUAACUGGCCAAUAGUUUGCAACUGCCGGUCAACACGCGCAGCCUACUCAGCGCUGCUCCGGAGGCGCGGGACGCCGCCUCCACGUGAGCCGCGCUCCUCCCAGUGCCCGGGACGGUGUCGGGGGCGGGCUGCACGGCGAGAAGGGCAAAAUAAAACCAGCCCGAGAGGCCCUGGCUGGGGUUGAGACUGCAGGAGUAACUUCUGCACCGAGGCAGCGCGCAGCCAGUCGGGGAAGAACUCUGCAACCUGACCGAAAGAAAGUCCGACCCUCUCGGGAGGGCUGCCAGGAUGCUGGAGCGAGUGUCAGGGUCCGAGACUCCCAAGUCGGGCGAGGGCUCCUGCCCCUGGCCAUUGGGUACCCCCCUCCGACCAACACCCCCGUCCCGCUUCAGAGCGUCGGCCCCACAGACCUAGAUGGGCAAGAUACCAAAUACUUUUCUUGGAAUACAUCAUCUUGAUUGAAAACUACUAGGAUAUUUUUGAAAAAAUAGCUCAUUAGCUGGCUGGAAAUGUGCUCUCCUGAAGAAAAAUCAGA
This 764-nucleotide long non-coding RNA is filed under the name Homo sapiens (human). RNAcentral's name for it is "HSALNT0147584". The record is from RNAcentral. Lineage: Eukaryota; Metazoa; Chordata; Mammalia; Primates; Hominidae.